AUGGGGCGGCCGUGGGAACGCGGGGAGGGGGCGCCACGGAUGAGCGACGGCGCCGCCGGCCAAUCGCAGCCCGCGCCUCCCGCGGCUCGCCCAAUGGGAGAGGAGAGGGGGCGGGUUUGGGGGGCCCGGGGAGAGGCCACGGGGGGACGUGGGGGGGGCGGCUCGGCCCUGCCGGGCCCUGGGGGGGAGGGGAGGGGUGGGGAGGGGGAGGAUGGGGAGGGGGCACGGAGCCGAGGGGAGGGGGGCUCGGGAUGGGGGCUGCGGCUGCACGGACCCCCGGGGGUCGUGGAUUUCCCCCCCCCGCCGUGCGGUGGUACGGCCUGCAGGCUGCGGGGGGGAGGGGGGAGCGCGGGGGUGGGGGAAGGAAUAGGGGGGAGCCGGGACGCAGGCACCAGCCCCAUCCCAUCCCAUCCCCAUCCCCAUCCCAUCUGUCCCCAUCCCCAUCUCCAUCCCCAUCUCCAUCCCAUCUCGGUCCCCAUCCCAUCCUCAUCCCCGUCCCCAUCCCCAUCCCUGUCCCAUCCUCAUCCCAUCCCCAACUCCAUCCUCAUUCCCAUCCCAUCCCUAUCCCCAUUCCAUCCCCAUCCCAUUCCAUCUCUGUCCCCAUACCAUCCUCAUCCCUGUCCCCAUCCCUGUCCCAUCCUCAUCCCAUCCCCAUCUCCAUCCUCAUCCCCAUCCCAUCCCCGUGCUCGUCCCGUCCCCAUCCCCAUCCCAUCCCCAACUCCAUCUCCACCCCAUUCCAUCUCUGUUCCUGUCCCCAUCCCGUCCCAUCCCCAUCCCAUCCCCAUCCCAUCUCCAUCCCCAUCCCAAUCCUUGUCCCAGUCCCAGCCCCGCGCGGUCCCACUGCCACCUACCGGCAGCUCCUGCAGGCUCGCCCCCCCCGUGUCACCAAAACCUCUCCCACCGGAGUUCCCCCAGUCCAAACUCUGCCAAAAUAUAACGAUGGAGCUCAUAAUGCCCGUGGUGACGAUGGCCAUCACACCUGGCAGCGGGGGAGCCAGCCCCAAGUCACUUCACUGCUGUAGAGGCAGCAUUUUGGGGGCAGGAUUUUUAUUUUAUUUUAUUUUAUUUUUGUCUUCCUUUCUGCUUUGCAGCUUGGAGCAGCAGCUCCUCCUCCAGCGUGGGGCUGGGAAUGAAAUGGGGGGAGAAAGCGCGGUGAUAAGAAAAAAAAAAUAA
RNAcentral lists this long non-coding RNA (1173 nucleotides) under Anas platyrhynchos platyrhynchos (common mallard). Its description in RNAcentral is "lncRNA (ENSAPLG00000025337.1)". Lineage: Eukaryota; Metazoa; Chordata; Aves; Anseriformes; Anatidae. The record is from RNAcentral.